This 400-nucleotide ribosomal RNA is filed under the name phytoplankton environmental sample. RNAcentral's name for it is "partial small subunit ribosomal RNA". It matches the Rfam family "Eukaryotic small subunit ribosomal RNA", at positions 587 to 991 of the family's 1831-position model. The record is from RNAcentral.
AGCUCCAAUAGCGUAUAUUAAAGUUGUUGCAGUUAAAAAGCUCGUAGUUGGAUUUGUGGUUGUCUGCUGCUGCUCUUCACUUUGUGUUGAGUUUGUGUGCAGUCGCCAUCCUUGGGUGGAUCUUGUGUGGCAUUAGGUUGUCGUGCAGGGGAUGCCCAUCGUUUACUGUGAAAAAAUUAGAGUGUUCAAAGCAGGCUUAUGCCGUUGAAUAUAUUAGCAUGGAAUAAUAAGAUAGGACCUUGGUACUAUUUUGUUGGUUUGCGCACCAAGGUAAUGAUUAAUAGGGACAGUUGGGGGUAUUCGUAUUCCAUUGUCAGAGGUGAAAUUCUUGGAUUUUUGGAAGACGAACUACUGCGAAAGCAUUUACCAAGGAUGUUUUCAUUAAUCAAGAACGAAAGUA